RNAcentral lists this long non-coding RNA (397 nucleotides) under Brassica napus (rape). RNAcentral describes it as "long non-coding RNA (BNAP_LNC008100)". The record is from RNAcentral. Lineage: Eukaryota; Viridiplantae; Streptophyta; Magnoliopsida; Brassicales; Brassicaceae.
CAAAAGUCACAAAAAUAGCAUUCAAGGGGUGGGGUUUAGGGUUUAGAAUUUAGGGUUUAGGGUUUAGAGUUUAGGUUUUAGGGUUUAGAGUUGAGAAGUGAGGUUAUGGGGAUUAGAUUUCAAAUUUUAAAAAAUAAAAAAAUUUAAAUUUUUCAAAAGAUAAAAUGCUAUUUUGGUCGUUUUAGUUUUUGAGUGCUAUUAUUGUGAUAUAAACUUAGAAAGGUGCUAUUUUGGAGAUUUGCCCAUUAAACAAUCAUAAUCAUAUAUGAAUUUACAAAACUUAUUUCGAGUUAUACAGCUUUACAACAUUUUUAGUGGCUGUAUGUCACUACGAAAAAGGGUUAAACUCAUUCAGUGGUUUAGUUGAAAAAUAGUUGUAUUUAAUAAAGUAGCUAGU